This is a long non-coding RNA of Vicia villosa (hairy vetch), 601 nucleotides long. RefSeq lists it as uncharacterized. The record is from RefSeq and is a predicted model, not a curated record. Lineage: Eukaryota; Viridiplantae; Streptophyta; Magnoliopsida; Fabales; Fabaceae. The transcript has 3 exons.
UUCUUCUUCCUCUCAAACGACGAAGCGACGCGCUUCCUGAGCUCACCGGAAACGGCUUCGAAACGCCACCCUUCCUUCGUAACCUCCAUCCCGUUUCCAUCCUCAAUAUAGACCUCAACACAAUCUCACUCUUCUCUCUAAUUUGGUAACAUCACAGAAAACCCUAACCUAAAUCUGAAAUUGAACAAAAAUCUUGGAGCUAGUUCGGGGAAUUCCGAUGACGGUGAAGGGCUCAGUUCAGAUGCUAUUGGUUGGGUUUUGUCGUCGCCAUGGUGUAUGCUUCAGUUGUGCGGUUCGUUGAAGGUGCGGUUGUUACAGGUUUGUGUAUGUUGAAGAAGGAGUUUAUGGAGAGUUUUUGUAUGGUUGCGUUCUUGUUGAGUUUUGUACAAGGAUUUGAGGGAAUGAGUUGGAGUUAAAGGACUAAUUUUGUAUAUUCUACAGGUGAGGUUUAUGUAGAUUUUUUCUCUCCUUUGCUUGAUUCUUAGUGCCAUUUUUAUAGAAGAAAGUGAGUGAACUUCUUGGAUAAAAGCUGAAGGAUAAAAGCAAACUUAACUAUUAAGUUAAGUCGACAUUAUACUUACCCUGUGCUUGGCUACAUUAC